UCGGGAAUUUUGGGCAAUGGGCGAAAGCCCGACCCAGCAACGCCGCGUGAGGGAUGAAGUAUUUCGGUAUGUAAACCUCGAAAGAAUGGGAAGAAUAAAUGACGGUACCAUUUAUAAGCUCCGGCUAACUACGUGCCAGCAGCCGCGGUAAUACGUAGGGAGCAAGCGUUGUUCGGAUUUACUGGGCGUAAAGGGCGCGUAGGCGGCGCGGUAAGUCACUUGUGAAAUCUCUGAGCUUAACUCAGAACGGCCAAGUGAUACUGCUGUGCUAGAGUGCGGAAGAGGCAACCGGAAUUCUUGGUGUAGCGGUGAAAUGCGUAGAUAUCAAGAGGAACACCUGAGGCGAAGGCGGGUUGCUGGGCCGACACUGACGCUGAUGCGCGAAAGCCAGGGGAGCAAACG
RNAcentral lists this ribosomal RNA (402 nucleotides) under uncultured bacterium. Its description in RNAcentral is "bacterial SSU rRNA". It matches the Rfam family "Bacterial small subunit ribosomal RNA", at positions 355 to 774 of the family's 1533-position model. The record is from RNAcentral.